UUAAUUGAAGAGUUUGAUCAUGGCUCAGAUUGAACGCUGGCGGCAGGCCUAACACAUGCAAGUCGAGCGGUAACAGGGGAAGCUUGCUUCUUGCUGACGAGCGGCGGACGGGUGAGUAAUGUAUGGGGAUCUGCCCGAUAGAGGGGGAUAACUACUGGAAACGGUAGCUAAUACCGCAUAAUCUCUAAGGAGCAAAGCAGGGGAACUUCGGUCCUUGCG
This 219-nucleotide ribosomal RNA is filed under the name Providencia stuartii. RNAcentral describes it as "partial 16S ribosomal RNA". It matches the Rfam family "Bacterial small subunit ribosomal RNA", at positions 1 to 217 of the family's 1533-position model. The record is from RNAcentral. Lineage: Bacteria; Pseudomonadati; Pseudomonadota; Gammaproteobacteria; Enterobacterales; Morganellaceae.